This 208-nucleotide long non-coding RNA is filed under the name Brassica napus (rape). Its description in RNAcentral is "long non-coding RNA (BNAP_LNC022073)". Lineage: Eukaryota; Viridiplantae; Streptophyta; Magnoliopsida; Brassicales; Brassicaceae. The record is from RNAcentral.
AAGAUUUGAAAAGUUUGUCAUAGUACUCAGCUAUCUGAGCUGCAAUAUGUUCCUUUUCAUGGAAAAUCUUCCCUUCUGCAUCCUCUAUGACAGAGAUGCGGUUGCGCGCUUUCUUUCCUGUCGGAACUGCGUGAAAGAACUGAGUGUUUUUAUCACCAGAAGCUAGCCAGAUAAUUCUGCUUCGUUGUCGCCAAAAAUCCUCUUCUGC